ACGGGUGGUAAUGCCGGAUGCUCCAGUUGAUCGCAUGGUCUUCUGGGAAAGCUUUCGCGGUAUGGGAUGGGGUCGCGUCCUAUCAGCUUGACGGCGGGGUAACGGCCCACCGUGGCUUCGACGGGUAGCCGGCCUGAGAGGGCGACCGGCCACAUUGGGACUGAGAUACGGCCCAGACUCCUACGGGAGGCAGCAGUGGGGAAUAUUGCACAAUGGGCGCAAGCCUGAUGCAGCGACGCCGCGUGAGGGAUGGAGGCCUUCGGGUUGUAAACCUCUUUUAUCGGGGAGCAAGCGAGAGUGAGUUUACCCGUUGAAUAAGCACCGGCUAACUACGUGCCAGCAGCCGCGGUAAUACGUAGGGUGCAAGCGUUAUCCGGAAUUAUUGGGCGUAAAGGGCUCGUAGGCGGUUCGUCGCGUCCGGUGUGAAAGUCCAUCGCUUAACGGUGGAUCCGCGCCGGGUACGGGCGGGCUUGAGUGCGGUAGGGGAGACUGGAAUUCCCGGUGUAACGGUGGAAUGUGUAGAUAUCGGGAAAGA
RNAcentral lists this ribosomal RNA (535 nucleotides) under Bifidobacterium longum subsp. suillum. Its description in RNAcentral is "bacterial SSU rRNA". It matches the Rfam family "Bacterial small subunit ribosomal RNA", at positions 156 to 706 of the family's 1533-position model. Lineage: Bacteria; Bacillati; Actinomycetota; Actinomycetes; Bifidobacteriales; Bifidobacteriaceae. The record is from RNAcentral.